CAGCGGGUCCCAGCUGACGGAAGGUGGGGGAGGAGUGCGAGGGUCUCUGAGACAGGUUGGGAGCCAGCCCCACCUCCAUUUCCAAAGCGGGGGUCCAGGCACAGGAACAGCCAAACGCCCGAACCAGCGGGGUUACCUUUGCCACUUCAUCCAAUCCGAGCAUCGGCUGGAAACUGGGAAGUUUGUCAGACAAAGCUCUUCAGGUUACUGGCAAUUUAUGUGCUGGGAGGUGGAUUUGUGGGCAGAGCUCCGGCUGACCUGGUGUUGUCCUGCUAUGGCUACAGACUUCUGACUAUGCUUAUCAGAAAAACUUUCAUUUGGUUCAAGGAUUUUUGCUGACAAGUUUAUUUAAUCCCUGAACCUGGAUCCAAGGCAUCUCCCUGUAGAAAACAUCAGACCGGGGCAGAGAUUGACAAAGCAACCCAAAGCAGCAGCUGCCAACGGCCGCUGUGCCCACCUCAUCAGCAGCUAAAGAGUAUAAUUUUAAAAAAAGUCACAGAAGAAUGUGGAGACACUUAGCAAAACGGACUCUCAUAAGAUUUGAGGAAACUCCUAAGGUCCCUCCAGUGUACAACAAUUUGGAACUUCCAUUUUCUCAACAACUGCUCUUCCAAGAUGCUGCCUCAUUUCAGAGCCAUGUUUUACUCAUGAGCUGGUCCUGUCCAGAAAACAGCCAAUGCUCAUUCCCGACACUUUCUUGUCACUGCUCUUUUCUGUUCCCUAUUUUGUCAGUAAGGAAGUAAACAACCGCUAAAACAACCCUCUAACAACAGAAGACCCUCAUGAGAACACCAGGCAGCAGAAGCUUCUUUAGCAGUAAAAGAUAUCUGGAUAUUCAUAUUUUGUUCCAUGAUCUUCAACAUUAAAUAAAUAAACUUAAUAUUCAAGUCU
This 891-nucleotide long non-coding RNA is filed under the name Homo sapiens (human). Its description in RNAcentral is "HSALNT0335841". The record is from RNAcentral. Lineage: Eukaryota; Metazoa; Chordata; Mammalia; Primates; Hominidae.